This 20670-nucleotide long non-coding RNA is filed under the name Malus domestica (apple). RNAcentral's name for it is "long non-coding RNA (MDOM_LNC005138)". The record is from RNAcentral. Lineage: Eukaryota; Viridiplantae; Streptophyta; Magnoliopsida; Rosales; Rosaceae.
GGUUGGAGAUGGCCUAAUCUUGCAUGUUGGAGAUACAAAUUUAUCCUACAAUAUUAAUUUUUAAAAAUAAUAAAUUUUAAAGGGCUAAAACAUUGUUACAAGGGUUGUGUUUAGCCUUCCGGGAUUGAAGAUGGCCUAUCAGCCACACAAAAACCAACUUAUAGUAAGAAAACAGUAAUAUGUGGCACGUCUACGUGAAAUAAUCUGUUUGUAUUAUAGUACUAGUGGACGACACGGUUGACAAUUCUCUUUUAAGAUAUGCUAUCAAUAAAAUAUCCACGCAUACUAUACCACAUAACAAUACUCUAGUACGUACGGUAGUACCAGACAUCCAACAUUAAAAAGAAAAAAUAGUACUAGAGAAAUUAUAAGUUCAAAUCCCCCCAUAUAGAGAAGGGACCUUAAAUAUUAGCACCAUUAAGUUUACAAAAUAAAAUGCCCAAAUAAAAUGAGCCCACAAGCUUUUGAGUUCUGACCAUACCGAAAUAAAGUACUUAGAAUAAAAGGAAAACUAAUGAAAAUGGCUUGAAAACUUUGAGUUUUAAUGAUAAGGACAAAAUAAAAGGUAAAGUGAAUAGUACCAUGAUUGACUUUUUAGUGUAAAAAUGUGGUUUUUCGUUAAAGUGAACAGUACUGGGUGUUUUUCGUUAAAAAUCCCUAGAAUAAAUGAGUUUUGAAAAAAAAACAUGCAUGAAAGGACAGUCCUCCCGACUUCAGUUAAGCUUGAGCACUAACAGAACUUUCUAUCAUAUCACAUCAGACGAUCUAGAUCUCUCCCAGCACCUGCGCAAGUAAAAGAAGAACCCCAUUUUAUUUACAUGUGGAAACCAAGAAUUGAUUAACAAAAGAAAAGUGAAAUGAUAUAUAGAAACUGUAUAGUUAUAUACUAAACCUACGAAAUGGUGCCAAUAGUAGUCGUCUUCCUUCCUCUCCCUCACCGCCAGAGGGACAUAGGUCUUGGGGUCUUCACCCCACUGUCUCUUCCGCCUAGCCGGAGCACCCGGUGGUUUGGUGUUCGGUGAAGCUGGAGCUGAUGAGAGGUUUUUAGAUGCCUCUUCCAAGGUAUACCUACAGCAUAUAUUCACACAUUAACUAAUUAAUUCUGAACCUGUUAUUGUAUAUAUGUAUAUAUGUACCCAGUCUUAACUGUCUCCUGGGCUGGGAGGAACAUGUUUGAACGGAUCGGGAAAUUAUUAUGACUCUCCCCAUUCCUGAUCUCCAUCUGACCAUGGAGUGCUAACCCCAUCUGCCCAAGGUAAAAUAUUGCCAAGGAGUUAAUAAAACCAGGCACUAUAUAUGAUACAUCCUCACGGUAAAAGUGGGAAAAGCUCAUAUGGUCAAGUAGACUAAAAUAUAUUCUGUUAAGGGUAAUGUUUGGGAGACAAAAUUUGGAGACAAAAUUAGCAAACUAAAUGAUUUGUCACCAAUAAUAAUGAGCACAGUUAUCGACGCUUAAGUAAUAAACCAAUCAUCAGCUUCCAUGUUCUUUAGUUUUCAAAACUUUGCUUCCAAAUUUUCUCUCCCUAACAUUACCCUUUUGUUAAAAUUGUAACUAAAAAGCUGACCAUUUGCGAUAAAAUUUCCAUAUCUGUUGGGUUAACAUGUAGAGUAAUGAAAACAAAAUCGUUAUAUUGAAGCUGUUCAACUUACAUCUGGACGAUGCAAAUCAACGGUAAUAUUCCCAGAGCCAUUUCGCAGGAUAGCAUCCAAAUUAAUUUCUGGUUCCACGUCAUAAAUGUGAAUACCGUCGGGAAAGGAAAAAGGAGGCGAGUUUGGGACAUCUCUCAAUUGUUUAGAGGAACUUGUAUCAUCUAAUUUACUUUUGUGAGAUUUAAAUCUCUACAAAUAUGGUAAUACCAUCUAGUUAAUAUGCACAUAACAACAUUCAUAACCACUAUAUCUAUAUUCUCCACACCCUAAACUUGAUACAUUUCAAUCGAUCUCCAACCAAGCAUAAGAAAUUGAAGUACUACUACAAAGUAUAGGCUUAUUGAGGAAUGGUUAGGACUACAACAUUCAGCAUUUCCUCAUUUUGUUUUGUAUGCAAUUGACUAUUAUGUGGAAAACUAAAAGCAAUUAUUAUGAGGAUAGAAAUGGCAACAAGAUAUGAAAUUCUUAUACUAAUUGCAAUUGGUACUGUUUCAUAUUGUAGUGUAUGAGGUUUAAAAACCACGCACGUUGUCAUGUAAGACACGUAAGACAUAACCAUAUAUAUAGUUAUCCGUUGUCCGUUCAAAUACAUUAUAACCGUACAAUCGCGUGUCACAUAAGAAAUCUUUAGGAGAAAAUUAGGUCUUGAAAUGUUAGAAAUCAAUACUAGCUAUUAGAUGAUAAUAAUAAAGAUAUCUCUACUAGCUAGUUGGGGUAAAUUAAGCUAUGUGCUUUAGAUCUGAGUCCAUUAAUCAUUAUGAUUUAAUUAUUUCGUAUUGGGAUGAAAUAAUUAUAUCAUAUCACAUGAAUUAAGAACUGGAAGAUAGAGUUCAGUUAAAUAUAAUCAAAAUUGGGGUUAUUUUGUUUGAAUAUUAGAUCCCCCAAUAUUGUAGCACGUAACUUUGUGGGGAUUAAUUAGAGGGAUUAUGAAAAUUAAUUGGAUCUCUCUCACUAAAAAGGAGCAUUGAGAAAUAUAAUUCAAUAAAAAUUAGCAAGAGAAAUUGGUUUGAAUUUCAAUAGAAUUUCCCUCCACCUAAUGCUACACAAAAUUUCUCUUAUUAAUUAUUUCCUUUCAUAUCGUUUUCCUUCUGCAAAUCCUUUGAAUCACACCCCUCUUUCUCUUAAUUAAAUAAAAUAAAUAUAUAAAAAAGACUUUCCAAGUGAUUCAAACCCUUGUCACAAAAAAAUAAAAAUAAAAACAAUUCAAAACCCUCGUUUUGUUUUUUUGGGUGAUAGAUUCAGAACCAUACUGAUUGAAAACAAAUUAAACAAAAGGGCUAACCAUAUAACCAAUUUUUAUCUGAUAAUUAAAAUCCAAACAUUGACAUGCGUGGAUAAGAUUAGCUUGCAGCUGAUGACAUGUUUGUCCACUGGAUCAGUCAUUUUGGAGGCUGCUGAGAUUUUGAAAACACCUAAAAACAAAGAUAGCCGUACAAGUCCAUAAGGUUAGAUAGAUCAUAUAUAUAGAAAAAUGUGGGGAUAUAUACGCUUACACACAAUUAUAUGUAUCUCAAAUCUAGGGAAGAAAUCAACAUGCCUGAGGAAUUGAGCUGAGGAGAGAGAAGCACUUAGAGACUGAGACUCUCAGACAGCUGCUACUAGAAAAUCUGUUUGGCAAAUGAGGGUAACAUAUUACAUGUAUAUAUAGUGCUAGAGGUUUUCUCUUCCAAGGGUUUAAUUGGAAUUUAACUCAUUCUCACCAACUCAUCAGAAGACACCUGCAAUUAUAACGCUCAUGCAAGUCAGCAUAAGCACUUACAUCAGCUGCAAUUCGGAUGCUUAGAGGUGGUUUGGGAGUGAAGUGCUUAAAAAAAAAGCAUCCAUGAAAAAUAGCUGUGAGGGUUUUAGGUGUUUGGUAAACUGAAAAAAAAAAGGCUUAUUUUGGAAGCUGCUGUGAGAAUAAGCUGAAAUCAAAGGAAAAAGCUGAAGCUGCUAUUUGCAGCUUUGGAAAACUGGCUUUUUUUCAAAGCAUACGGAGCUGCAGUGCUCCUUUAAUGAAAAGACCCACUAUGAGACUGUUUUUUUUUUUCCAAAAGCACUUUUACAGAAAAGUUUACCAAACACUCUGCUGAUUUAUUUCACAGCCGCUUAUUCUCACAGCACAGCCGCUUAUUCUCACAGCAGUUUUUUUUCAAAGCACAGCAAUACCAAACCAGCCCUUAGUGUCUUUGUUAAACCCAGUAGUUCACAGCCAUGUCAUUAAGUCUAGAGACGUGUAAACAUCUUGGGCAUGCAGGUUUUUAAUUUUGUUUUUUUUACAACGAUAUAUAUAUAUAUAUACACACACACGCGCACACACACUAAGGAGUACAGAAUAAAUUGGUUGCAAAUAUUAUACAUGUACAUAUACAUAUAUUGCUAUGCUUCAAACAAUUAUUGAUUAAUUUUUCUAUGCUAUGAACUUAUGUAUUAUUACAAAAGAGUAUGUAGUAGCUAGUAGAAAACCUAAAACAAAUUUUUAGUUUAAAUUUCUUGAGUUUAUAACUCCAACGGUAAAUUAUUUUCCCAAUAAUCCUCGUGCGCCCAACCGUGUAUUCACUUUUUCCUCUUAAACUGUAACGCAAAUAACUAAACCGUAAGGAAAAUAAUGCUACAAAAUGUACGAGGUUUAAUUUAAUUGUGCACUUAUUGUUCAUAUUUAACUCCAACAGUAAACUAUUUUUCUGCGAAAUCCCUGAUGCGCGCGUAGUCAUGCGCUCUUUCCUCCUAAACCAUAAUGCAGUUAAAUGCAUUAGAUGUAUGAGGUUUCAUUUGACGGCGUACUUGUUAUAUUUAUCAAAUUUUUGUAUAUUUUUGCUUAAGAUUAAUAUAUUUAUUCAAUAUGUGACAAUUACUAUUAGUACUGAGAUUAGUUUGAUAAUACACUUUUUUUUGGUACAAAAAUUCUUCUAUUAGCUCAUGAAAAAAUAAAAUGAAAAUAUUGUUUUUUCUUUUCCGUUGAAUUUGAUAAAAGGUAAAAACACGUUAUUGCCCAUUAAAGCGUGGUUGACACUUAGCAUCCAAAUAUAUAUGUCACGAGAUAGUGAUUAUUUCUAUGUGCAAUCCAGAUUACAUACCUUAAGUGUCAUCCUACAUGAACGACAUGUGUCCUAUGUGGUUGGUGGCAUCCUACGCGGCCUGUAUUUUUGAGGUGAAAAUAUAAUUUUCGUAUCCAACAGGUUUAAUUAUUUAUGGCAGGUCAUUUAUUCAAUUGCACUAUGUAACUUUGUUGGAGCCAUAAUUAUUAAUUAAUUUUCUUUCCAACUAUUUGAGGAUGUAAAAUUGAAUUCAGUAAAAAAAGAAAAUCUAAUUGUUUAUGGUCCUUUGGCAACUAGUUACAAGUGCAUAUAUGAGAAUCCAACCGUUUUUAAUGAAUAUUUAAUGUCAACUUUUUUAUGUUUUGCAUAUAAUGAGAAAAUGAUAAACACGUCUCCUUUUUCUCUGUGUAAAAAAGUGGGAAACUAGAUUAUAAUUCCUCAAUAAGAUCUAUUCAUUCAAGUCUGGUGUAAUAUUAAAUAUUGAUUUGGUCCUUUAAUAAUAUGCUAUUAAAUAUCAUGCAUGUUUCUAUAAAAACAAAUAUUUAUCAAUGUGGAGGACCCUCCUAAAAAUUAGGAGAGAAAACUUUCCACAAUGACACGCUGGUAACAAUACAUAUACGUUCAUAUGCACAUAUAUUAUAUAAAAUUUGUGUACUUAUACAUGAGAUAUGAUUAAGGGACAAAUAUUUUUACACUCCUUAUUAGCUCUUGGAUCUUUUUACAUCUAAUGCACUAGUGGAGCCAAGUACAAGGCUCCCCUAGGCUAUAGCAUAGGGAGUGUUUUGAAUCUUUAAGCUUCAAAAUAUUAAUAUUUUGGGCUAUUUUAUGAUUUUAAUUGUCAUAUUUCACUUAGCAAAUGAAAUUUUUGAAUCAUAGGGCUACUUUUAAAGAAAAUAAGAGCUAAUAAAUGUUAAAUAAACUCAUCACUUUAACCCAUAUUAUAAUUUAAUAGUAAUAAAGUAAAACUUCCAUCCACAAUGGGCUAGCAAUAAUGUGGUUCAAAUUCGUCUUAGGAGAAAAUCGAACGUAUGACGUAUCACUUACAAGUAAAGAGGAAUUUCACUAGACAGUAGUACUAAGUGACAGUAUAAAUUUCUUACUUCAAAUUAUUACUUUCAAGUUAUAUAGCUUUAUAUACGCAACAAAAGAUUAAAAUUUUGAUUUCAAAGUAAUAAUUUUAACUUAGCUCACCCACCGAAUAAUUCCUGGCUACGCCAUUGAUCUAAUGGUCUUGAAUAAAAGUUAAGAUUAUUGUCAUUAAACUAGUAGGUGAUAUGGCAUUGACUGAAAUCAUUUAGGAAAAAUUAGUAACAGUCCCUAGUUCUUACUGUUCAUUAACUAAGACCUUAUUAGUUCUUAAAUUUUGACUCAAGUCCCUAGCAAUAAUGUGAUAAUGAAUUUACAUGUUUAUUAUAUAAUUUUUAAUAUAAAAAUUAGUAAUUAAUUUAGGGUUUAAUACUCACACCUCUAUUAAACUUCUAAUUAAUUUUCAUUCAAACAUUUCUAAAAUAAUAAAAAAUUAAAUUAAAUUAAAUUAAGUUUGUACCUAUUAGUUUUUUUUAUAUAUAAAAAGAUUCAAUUUUUUAAUCUUAAAUGUACCCAUUCAUAUAAUUUUUCAUUUUUUUUAAUCUUAAAUGUACCCAUUCUCAAAUAAAUCAAUUUGUUAUAUGUAAAAUGUACCCUUUUUUUUAAUAUAAAAUCCAUUCAAAUUUUUUAAUCCAUGUUUAAACUUAUAUAGGUACAUUCUUUUUCGUUGAUUUGAGAAUGUAUCCAUGUUUUGGUACAAUAACUUUUUUUGUUAAUUUUGGUUAAUGUACUCAUACAUAUAUGUAUAUACACACACACACACACACACACACACACACACACACACAAUAUAAUAGAGAGUAUAAUUUAUAUUUUAUUAUUUUUAAUCCCAUAAAUUAUGGGUUUUAUUUAAAAUCUCAUUAAUAUAAACAAUUUCAAUUUUCAAUUUUUUAUUUUUUAUUUAAAAAAUAUAGUAACUUACAUUAUUACAUUAAUGUCAAUGACCUCAAUAAAAAACUAAAAACUAACAAGGUUUCAAUCAAAAAAUAUUGAUAGCUAGGGAUCGCAUCCAAAGUGUCCCAAUAAUUUAUCUUAAAUCUCUACUAAAAUAUUUUUUGUUAUUUUAUUUUAUUUUGUUUCAAAAAAGUCCUAUUGCAAAUAGAGCACCAUCUUCCUUCACGAGCACCGCGUUCCUCCAUGCCAUUAUUCAUUCACGAGCACCGUAAACAAGGAAGAGGAUAAAGAUUUUCAUUAGUACGCUUUUGUUUUAUAUCAUGAAACCUUAAGCCACUGAAAAGAUUUCUUGUUAAAUAAGGACAUGCUUAAGAAUUUAAUGUAAAUCAAUUUUAGGGUUUUAAAACCUCAUCCUUUUCUAUGAAUAUUCAAUUUUAUUUGCUUGGUAUUAAGAUUUAGUUUAUGGCUCGGAAGCAUAAUCAGAGCAUCUUCACUGAUAGAACCGAAAAGAAUGAAGAAAAAAAACAGAAUGUUUUAAGGGGUAAGAGUUAUGUGAAUCUAUCUUCUUAAUCCCCUUCUUUUCUUCCGCUACUUUCUAUUGCUUAUCAUGAUUUGCAGACAACCAAUGAAAAUACAAUAUUGAUGUUGAGACGGAAGAAGAGAGUGAAAAGGUUGGUUAGGUUGAACACAACGAUCAAGAUUGAUAUAUCCAUCAUGGAUGAUUGGGUUCUUGUCAUAUAUCUUAAUUAACAAUGGCGUGGGGUUAAUGAAGGCGGAGGCUGGGAAGUGUUUACGUUUCCGUAACCUAAUCUUUUUCCUUAAAAUGUUUUAAUUUUAAUUUUUUUGUCAAGUAAAAUGUUUUAAUUUUUUUUUUGUCAAAGGAUAAAAUUGUAUUAAAAAUCAAAUACGAAUGGAAACAUUUGCAUCUUCAGCUAGAAUAUUAAACAAAAAUUGAGGUCCUAAUUCAUCCCAACCAUAACUCCCACCAUGCUUAAGAACGUACGCCGCCACCAUAUGGGCUGCACGAUUGCAUUGUCGAGGGGUAAAGAUAAACUUCACCGAUUUGAAUGACUGCAUUAAAUUCCAAAUAUCAGCUAAAUAUAUCUCCAGCAACACAUCAGCUUGAAUCUCCUUAUUCAACAUUUGAACCAAUCCUUUCGAAUCAGACUCCACCUCCAAAAUCUCCCCGGACGCAUGAAAACCCCUUAAAACACACAUCUGCAGUCCCUGUCUUAUGGCUGCCGCCUCAGCCAUAUCUGAGGACAAGAAAAAGGCCCCACCAUUGCCUCCCACCAUCUUUGGAAGUCCUGCAAAGUCGCGCAAGACCCACCCAACACCACCUAUCUUUGUUUCCUUCAGCCAUGCAGCAUCAGUAUUUAAUUUUAGCCUGCCAAACUCAGGUUUCGUCCAUCCCAUUGCGCUGAUCACAUUCUGGGAACCAUCCCCCACCAAAGCCUGGCGUGCACUUCUAUCCUCCUCCCCAUUAGCCACUGCCAUCGCCGCUUGAAACUCGGAGACUUGACGACACCACAACUCAACUGCAAUAUGAGGCACGAUUAUCGUUAAAUACUGCUUCAUUGCGACAUUUCCAUAUACGCCACAAACCAAAAACAAUUUGUUGAAGCACAGAGUCUACAUCCUGUCCCUGACCCACACGGUCUAAUAGCAUUUUCCACCCCCCCAGAAAGUCUUGUGCCCCAAAAGAACUCAUAUCCAUUUGUAAUGAUGUGCCAAACCAAAAUGCUCGGCUAAAGUCACAGUUAAAGAAUAUAUGUGCUUCUGUUUCAUCAGCAGCUCCACAUAAUUCACAUAUAUUCUUGACUCGAAUUCGACGCCUUUCCAAGUUAUGUCUCACGGCAAGAGAAUGACGGCAAGCGCGCCAAAGAAACAACCUAAGUUUAUUAGGAACCAUCACCUUCCAUGUUUUCUGCCAAAGACCAUCCAAUGAGCACGGAGAGCUUGACAUACCACCCCAUUUCCUCCCAAAUUCCCCAUUUUGCAUCAUCUCGAGCGCAACAAAAUAUCCCGACUUAACCGUGUAUAGCCCAUUUUUCGUAUAAUGCCAUAUACGUCGAUCUUCACAGCCACUUUGACUAAUCAGGAUAGCCCUAAUAAUUUCAACUUCCUCCGGCUGAAACAAUUCAGUCACAAGAUCAAUCUUCCAAUCCUUAGUCACAGGAUCAAUAAGGGACUGCACAAGCGGAUCAACAUCCCUUUGCUGCCUCAUAGGUCGAAAUGUAUGGGGUUUUGGGAGCCACAGUAAAAUCCCUUUCCAACCCCACGAUGAUUUAUUCCUCCUAUUUGCCUCCAAAAAGGAAGUGGCAGGAAAAUAUUUAUCACGAAGUAAUUGACCAAGAACAGAGGUGGGAUUAUGUAAGACCCGCCAACUGAUCUUUGCUAGCAUAGCCAAAUUAAAACAAAUCAAGUCCCGAAAACCCAAACCACCACACUUUUUACUCAUUGUCAUCUUAUCCCACGCCACCCAAUGACACCCUUUCGUUCUCGAUUGGCCCCUCCACCAAAAUUGAGAGAUAACUUGUUCCAGUUCUUUACACGUUCCAACCGGUAACUUAAAGCAAGCCAUAGCAUGAUUUGGCAUAGCCAUUGCUACCGAUUUGAUUAAGACCUCUUUACCCGCUGGAGAAAGGAAUUGUUCUGCCCAACCGUCAAUACGGGACCCAAUACCACGUCUAACUGAUUCAAAAACCGCCUUCUUUGAGUGCCCAAAAUCGGCCUGAAGCCCUAAGUAUUUACCAAAUCCAUCUCUUGCUUGAAUAUUCAUCACCAUAACGAUUCGUUUUUUUUGUUUUUUAGGGCAUCCCUUCCCAAAAUAUAUAGAGCUUUUCUCCAAGUUAACAAUCUGGCCCAAGGAGUCACCAUAAUCCUGUAAAAUGCGCAUCACCCGACUAGCUUCAUACUCAUUAGCUUGACAAAAGAUGACGGAAUCAUCCGCAAAAAAUAAAUGAGAAAUUGGCUCCGCUUCCAUCGAUACCCGCAUCCCAUGUAUCAACCCAUCCAACUCAUAUUUGCGAAUAUACGAAGAAAGUGCUUCCGCGCAAAUAAGAAAUAAGAAAGGUGACAAAGGGUCACCUUGCCUUAGUCCUCUUGUCGGCAGAAUAUAUCCCGAGGGGACACCAUUCAUCAAAACACUGUAUGAAACUGUUGAAAUGCACUCCCGGAUCCAGUCACAAAAUUUAGGGUGAAAACCAAGCUUCAACAUAAGUUAGUAGUUUAAGAUGAGUCAUAUUAAUUUUAUUCAAGACCAUUACAUUUGAAAAGAUCCAAGAGUUAGUACGGAGUGUAAAAAUAUUUGUCUCUUAAUUCUAUCAUCUUAUACAAUCGUACAUAAAUGUGCACCUAUAUAUAUACUGUGUACCUAUACUUAUGAACUUAAUUUAGAGCUUAAGUUGCGCGCCACAGCAGAAUCACUGCUAUUAUCGAAGUGCGCAGCCGUGAAAUUUCACAUGGUGGAGUCGUUGUCAAAGUCCUCCUCAUCGUCGACCACCAGCUCAUCGGACUCAUCAUACGAAUCGAAAUCGGCGCCGACGCCGCAGGCAGAAAUGCUCUUGAGAUCGUCGUUUGCCGUCAAUGUGCCGUCGUGAUUGUCGGUCGAGAAGGAGGAGGGAAGGAACGGCUGCGCGUGGUCCUUGGACGCGACCUUGCGCUUAUGGAUGGACAAGGUGGCGGAGGCGGAGGUCGAGUGCGAAGGAAAAGAGGUAUGCAUGCUUUCGGACAGUUCGACGCCGCGAGGUGCGCGGAGUGGGCAUCCAUUUAGGAUCAACUCAGUGAGUUGACUCGGAACGAGUUAAGGGUUUUGCCCAGGCGGGAUCCGAGAGUUUACAAUGGUUUGGGUUCACAUAAAAAAUGAGGAUGAGAAAGGCAAUCACGUGCCAAUCUAACUUACAACAACGAAGUCGUGGAACCGAAAAAAGUUUGAACAGUACUUGGCUGCUGACAAAUCAGCAGCUCCUCCUGCAAUUAGUUAAUUACAGAUUAACACGUAUUCAAUUUAUAAUUAAAAAAUUAAUUACUUGAACAUGUAUUCAUCUGUAAUUAAAUAAUUGUUAAUUUUUCAGUAAUCAAGUUCUGUUGAAAAAGCUUUUGCCCAAGCUGGGCAAAGUUCGUACCAGCCAUUGGGCCCUGGGAACCCAAACAAGUUUGAGUUGAGGCUUUACCCAAUAUUAAAAUUGAGUAGGAUUUUUUUUUUCUUCUCUCCUUCCUUCUUUUUCUAUUUGAACGGUCACGGUUAAGUUAUAUUAUUUAUAUUAAUUUUUUUUAUAGAAAAAGAAAGAUAAAAUAGAGAAUGUGAGAGGAAAUGAUGAAAGAGGAUGUGAAGAGGAUGAGAGAGAAUCCUACCCCUAUUAAAAUUGGCCCUGACUUUACAACAACAACAACAACAACAACAAAGCCUUUUCCCACUAAGUGGGGUCGGCUAUAUGAAUCCUAGAACGCCAUUGCGCUCGGUUUUGUGUCAUGUCCUCCGUUAGAUCCAAGUACUCAAGUCUUUUCUUAGGGUCUCUUCCAAAGUUUUCCUAGGUCUUCCUCUACCCCUUCGGCCCUGAACCUCUGUCCCGUAGUCACAUUUUCGAACCGGAGCGUCAGUAGGCCUUCUUUGCACAUGUCCAAACCACCGGAACCGAUUUUCUCUCAUAUUUCCUUCAAUUUUGGCUACUCCUACUUUACCUCGGAUAACCUAAUUCCCAAUCUUAUCCUUUCUCGUGUGCCCAUACAUCCCACGAAGCAUCCUCAUCUCUGCUACACCCAUUUUGUGUACGUUGAUGCUUCACUGCCCAACAUUCUGUGCCAUACAACAUCGCUGGCCUUAUUGCCGUCCUAUAAAAUUUUCCCUUGAACUUCAGUGGCCUACGACGGUCACACAACACGCCGGAUGCACUCUUACACUUCAUCCAUCCAGCUUGUAUUCUAUGGUUGAGAUCUCCAUCUAAUUCUCCGUUCUCUUGCAAGAUAGAUCCUAGGUAGCGAAAACGGUCACUUUUUGUGUGAUCUUCGCUAGAUUGCUCCGGUCAUUAGUGUGGAUAAGUAUAUAAAUGGAUAGAGAUAGGAAAGCAAACACAAGAUGUACGUGGUUCACCCAGAUUGGCUACGUCCACGGAAUAGAGGAAUUCUCAUUAAUUGUGAAGGGUUUACACAAAAGCAAACACAAGAUGUACGUGGUUCACCCAGAUUGGCUACGUCCACGGAAUAGAGGAGUUCUCAUUAAUUGUGAAGGGUUUACACAAGUACAUAGGUUCAAGCUCUCUUUUAGUGAGUACAAGUGAAUGAUUUAGUACAAAUGACAUUAGGAAAUAUUGUGGGAGAAUGAUCUCGUAGCCACGAAACUUCUAAGUACCGGAGUGUGGUAUCGUCUUGACUUGCCUUAUCUGUCUCAUAGGUAGAUGUGGCAUCUUCUCUGGAAGUACUCUUCCUCCAUCCAGGGGUGGUAUCUGUAACUGGUGGAGAUGCACAAGGUAAUGUAUCAAUUUCACUUGAAGCUUACUUGUAGUUUCAUGCUUGGUCAAGCGCGAUACAAACCAUGUAGUAGGAGUCCCCAAGUCGCCGAGCUAGGGGAUCUGCUGAAAGAGGUGACAGACAAGGUAAGCAAUCAGAGCUCCGGCUGAUUGUUCACAUUCUCCCUAUCUUGCAGGCAGCAUGAAGGAUAAAGAGAAGAAAAAUGAGGAGAGAUGAUAUGGGAUACUUUUGCUUUUGAAGAAGUAACUUUCCACAGGCUUAUUCUUGAACUGGGCUGGAGGGUUUUCUGGUUUCCUCCAGAGUAUAAGGCCGACUGAAGAAUUUGAGGGUCAAAACAAGUCCAUCAAAUCUAGAGUACGUUCGACCCUGCUGAUAUGGGAUAUACUUUUGCUUUUGACAGAGUAGUGGAUGUAUCGGCACGUGUGCUGUUACGCUUGUCUCCACAUGCUUCCUUGUAACCUUCUCACUUGCCCUAUUUGUUCCUCAGGCAGAUGCGGUAUCUUCCCUGGAAGCAUAAGAUGUUGAAGAUGAGUACUCGAGAGCAAUGCCAGGUAAGUAAUCAGGUAAGGGGUUCCAGGCAGUCAGUUCCUGGCUGGAAGCUUGAUUCCACGUGCUGACUGAUUGCUCUCUUUCUCCUUGUCUUGCAGGUAAGAACAAGGCCAAAGGAAAAGACAGGGAAAAAGCAUGAUAUGGGAUACUCUUGCUUUUAACCCUGAUGAUAUGAGAUAUUCUUGCUCUAGUAUAGCUUGUUUACAGAGGUAUUAUCGGGGGGAAAGAAAGCUGAAUAUUUCGAAAGGCUUCGUUGGGAGUGCCCUCUCAGAUAAGAGAAAGGGUUGAGCAUUUUUGCAGGUCUGCCUGUCCGUUAGGGAUGCAGGUCGACAUAUAUAGGAGUCUCCCUAACAUCAAGUAAUAAUGCUAUUCCUUUACCCUGCUUGGUUAUAGCACGGUAGUGGGAGCUGCCAGCUUCACAUGUUUUAACUCUGUCAGAGCACUUUGAAAAAGUGGUCUGUGGUAUCUGGAAAUCUGAUGUUGCGUGUGAAGAUUACAGACAAGCUUUAUCCAAGGAGAUCCAGCUCUUGAAGUUGGGAAAGUGGUGCCUCUUCGAUUUUCGAACAAUCAAUCCUGUCGGGGAUUUGGCUAUCGAGAUUCGGAGAACGAUGCCUUUUCGAUUUUUGAGAAAGCAAUCCUGCUGGGGGUCUGGCUCUCGAGAUUCGGAGAGCGGUGUCUCUUCGAUUUUUGAGAAAGUAAUCAUGUUGGGAGUCUGGCUCUCGAGAUUCGGAGGGCGGUGUCUCUUCGAUUUUGGAGCAAGCAAUCUUGUUGGGAGUGUUUUCUCGAAUGUGAGUAAAGGUUGGACGUGUUUGCUAGUCUACCUUGCCACGAAGCACAGAGGUUGACACACAGGGACUUUCCAAUUAUCCAGCAGUGGUACUGUUCCUUUACCCUCUCUUCGAUUUUUGAGAAAGUAAUCAUGUUGGGAGUCUGGCUCUCGAGAUUCGGAGGGCGGUGCCUCUUCGAUUUUGGAGCAAGCAAUCUUGUUGGGAGUGUUUUCUCGAAUGUGAGUAAAGGUUGGGCAUGUUUGCUAGUCUACCUUACCACGAAGCACAAAGGUUGACACACAGGGACUUUCCAAUUAUCCAGCAGUGGUACUGUUCAUUUCCCCUCUCUUCGAUUUUUGAGAAAGUAAUCAUGUUGGGAGUCUGGCUCUCGAGAUUCGGAGGGCGGUGCCUCUUCGAUUUUGGAGCAAGCAAUCUUGUUGGGAGUGUUUUCUCGAAUGUGAGUACAGGUUGGGCAUGUUUGCUAGUCUACCUUGCCACGAAGCACAGAGGUUGACACACCGAGACUUUCCAAUUAUCCAGCAGUGGUACUGUUCCUUUACCCUUGUGGGUAAUAAUAUGGUAGCUAGACCUUCAAAAUUUAUGUGUUUAAACUUUGUUAGUGUUGUUUCUUUGCAAUUCUUUUACCCUUCUUGGUCAGAGCGAUGUAGUGGGAGCUGCAAGCUUCACGUGUCUCAACUUUGUCAGAGAACUUUGGCAAAGUUAUCUGUGGUACCCAUGAGCUACUGUUGCGUGUGGGAAGUGGGUGAUUGAACAGUACGAUUCAUGUGCUUUCUACUUCGUCAGAAAUCUUCGACAGAAUGCCCAUAAUUUCCGCAAAGCUGAGUGUGCGUGUGACAGGUGCUGACAAGGCUAGAAAAGUAGGUGCCUCUUCGAUUUCUGAGAUCGGCCCUCGUGGUCUCUGAGCAUCCCAGCUUUUGAGAAAGCAAGCCUCUUCGAUUUAUGAGAUCGGCCUUCGUGGUCUUUGAGCAGCCCAGCUUUUGAGAAAGCAAACGCCUCUUCGAUUUCUGAGAUCGACCCUCGUGGUCUCUGAGCAGCCCAGCUUUUGAGAAAGCAAACGCCUCUUCGAUUUCUGAGCAGGCCCCUCUUCGAUUUCUGAAGCUUCGUCGAGUGCAGAUUUUUAUAGGGGCUGACAUUAAGUUCCAAAGCACACUUGAAUAUCCACUAGUAGAAGCUCCAUUCUUGCACUUCUAAGAUCUUGAUUUGUCCGACCUCUUCUCUCUUCAACACCUUUGAAAAUGUCUGGCCCCUCCGACCGUCGUUUUGACUUGAACCUUGUUGAAGAGGCAGCCUCGCCUUCUCCAGACAACAUAUGGCGCCCAUCCUUCGUCUCCCCUACUGGUCCUCUUACCGUUGGGGAUUCCGUGAUGAAGAAUGAUAUGACCGCUGCGGUAGUGGCCAUGAACCUUCUCACUUCCAAAGAUAACAGACUACUUUCCAAACGGUCUGAUGAGUUGGCUGUUAAGGAUUCUCUGGCUCUCAGUGUUCAGUGUGCAGGUUCUGUGUCUAAUAUGGCCCAACGCCUAUUUGCUCGAACUCGCCAAGUUGAAUCAUUGGCGGCUGAAGUGAUGAGUCUCAAACAGGAGAUUAGAGGGCUCAAGCAUGAGAAUAAACAGUUGCACCGGCUCGCACAUGACUAUGCUACAAACAUGAAGAGGAAGCUUGACCAGAUGAAGGAAUCUGAUGGUCAGGUUUUACUUGAUCAUCAGAGAUUUGUGGGUUUGUUCCAAAGGCAUUUAUUGCCUUCGUCUUCUGGGGCUGUACCGCGUAAUGAAGCUCCAAAUGAUCAACCUCUGAUGCCUCCUCCUUCUAGGGUUUUGUCCAGUACUGAGGCUCCGAAUGAUCCUCCUCCGGUGCCUUCUCUUUCUGGGGCUCUACCGCCUGCUGAGACUUCUCCUAAGCAACCUUUGUGAAGGCUCCCUCUUGUUUGUUUAUUUUUGACUCAAGUAUAUGUACAUAUUUGUAACUUAUCGGGGAUAUCAAUAAAUAAGCUUUCCUUCAUUUCAACGUAUUGUGUUAAAUACAUCAAAGCCUUCUUCGCUAAGUUCUUUGAAUUUUCUUUUGUUGAAGCUUGUAUGUUGAAGCUUUGUGAGUGGAGCAUAUAGGUUGAGGUAGUGUUCCCUUAAUUUCCCGAGUGAGGAAAACUUCUUGGUUGGAGACUUGGAAAAUCCAAGUCACUGAGUGGGAUCGGCUAUAUGAAUCUUAGAACGCCAUUGUGUUCUGUCCUGUGUCAUGUCCUCCGUUAGAUCCAAGUACUCUAAGCUUUUCUUAGGGUCUCUUCCAAAGUUUUCCUAGGUCUUCCUCUGCCCCUUCGGCCCUGAACCUCUGUCCCAUAGUCGUAUCUUCUAAUCGGAGAGUCAGUAGGCCUUCUUUGCACAUGUCCAAACCACCGUAACCGAUUUUCUCUCAUCUUUCCUUCAAUUUCGGCUACUCCUACUUUACCCCGGAUAUCCUCAUUCCUAAUCUUAUCCUUUCUCGUGUGCCCACACAUCCAACGAAGCAUCCUCAUCUCCGCUACACCCAUUUUGUGUACGUGUUGAUGCUUCACUGCCCAACAUUCUGUGCCAUACAGCAUCGCCGGCCUUAUUGCCGUCCUAUAAAAUUUUCCCUUGAGCUUCAGUGGCAUACGGCGGUCACACAACACGCCGGAUGCACUCUUCCACUUCAUCCAUCCAGCUUGUAUUCUAUGGUUGAGAUCUCCAUCUAAUUCUCCGUUCUUUUGCAAGAUAGAUCCUAGGUAACGAAAACGGUCGCUCUUUUGGUAUUUCUUGAUCUCCGAUCCUCACCCCUAACUCGUUUUGGCCUCCAUUUGCACUGAACUUGCACUCCAUAUAUUCUGUCUUUGAUCGGCUUAGGCGAAGACCUUUAGAUUCCAACACUUCUCUCCAAAGGUUAAGCUUUGCAUUUACCCCUUCCUGAGUUUCAUCUAUCAACACUAUAUCGUCUGCGAAAAGCAUACACCAAGGAAUAUCACCUUGAAUAUGUCCUGUUAACUCAUCCAUUACCAACGCAAAAAGGUAAGGACUUAAGGAUGAGCCUUGAUGUAAUCCUACAGUUAUGGGAAAGCUUCCGGUUUGUCCUUCAUGAGUUCUUACGGCAGUCUUUGCUCCUUCAUACAUAUCCUGUUAUAGCUUGGAUAUAUGCUACUCGUACUCCUUUCUUCUCUAAAAUCCUCCAAAGAAUGUCUCUUGGGACCCUAUCAUACGCUUUUUCCAAAUCUAUAAAGACCAUGUGUAAAUCCUUUUUCCCAUCUCUAUAUCUUUCCAUCAAUCUUCGUAAGAGAUAGAUUGCCUCCAUGGUUGAGCGCCCUGGCAUGAACCCGAAUUGGUUGUCCGAAACCCGUGUCUCUUGCCUCAAUCUAUGCUCAAUGACUCUCUCCCAGAGCUUCAUUGUAUGACUCAUUAGCUUAAUACCCCUAUAGUUCAUGCAAUUUUGUACAUCGCCCUUAUUCUUGUAGAUAGGCACCAAAGUGCUCAUUCGCCACUCAUUCGGCAUCUUCUUCGUUUUCAAAAUCCUAUUGAAAAGGUUAGUGAGCCAUGUUAUACCUGUCUCUCCCCCAAAACUUUCCACACUUCGAUUGGUAUAUCGUCUGGGCCUACUGCUUUUCUAUGCUUCAUCUUCUUCAAAGCUACACCCACUUCUUCCUUCCGGAUUCUACGAUAAAAAGAGUAGUUUCUACACUCUUCUGAGUUACUCAACUCCCCUAAAGAAGCACUCCUUUCAUGUCCUUCAUUAAAAAGAUUAUGAAAAUAACAUUUCCAUCUGUCUUUAACCGCGUUCUCUGUAGCAAGAACCUUUUCAUCCUCAUCCUUGAUGCACCUCACUUGGUUUAGGUCCCUUGUCUUCUUGUCCCUUGCUCUAGCUAGUUUAUAGAUAUCCAACUCUCCUUUUUUGGUAUCUAGUCGCUUAUACAUAUCGUCAUAAGCCGCUAACUUAGCUUCUCUCACAGCUUUCUUCGCCUCUUGCUUCGGUUUUCUAUACCUUUCACCAUUUUUAUCGGUCCUAUCCUUGUAUAAGGCUUUACAACAUUCCUUCUUAGCCUUCACCUUUGCUUGUACCUCCUCAUUCCACCACCAAGAUUCCUUUUGGUGUGGGGCAAAGCCCUUGGACUCUCCUAAUACCUCUUUUGCUACUUUUCGGAUACAACUAGCCAUGGAAUCCCACAUUUGGUUAGCUUCCCCCUCUCUAUCCCACACACACUGGGUGAUUACUUUCUCUUUGAAAAUGGCUUGUUUUUCUUCUUUUAGAUUCCACCAUCUAGUCCUUGGGCACUUCCAAGUCUUGUUCUUUUUUCUCACUCUUUUGAUAUGUACAUCCAUCACCAACAAGCGAUGUUGAUUAGCCACGCUCUCUCCUGGUAUAACUUUGCAAUCCUUACAAGUUAUACGAUCCCCUUUCCUCAUUAGAAGAAAAUCUAUUUCUGUUUUUGACGACCCACUCUUGUAGGUGAUCACAUGUUCUUCUCUCUUCUUAAAGAAGGUGUUGGCUAAGAAGAGAUCAUAUGCCAUUGCAAAAUCCAAGAUAGCUUCCCCAUCCUCGUUUCUCUCCCCAAAACCAUGGCCACCAUGAAAACCUCCAUAGUUGCCUGUCUCCCUGCCCACGUGUCCAUUUAAAUCUCCUCCUAUAAAUAACUUCUCUGUCUGAGCAAUUCCUUGCACCAAGUCUCCAAGGUCUUCCCAAAAUUUCUCCUUCGAACUCGUAUCCAACCCUACUUGAGGUGCGUACGCACUAAUCACAUUGAUAAGUUCUUGUCCUAUUACAAUCUUGAUUGCCAUGAUUCUAUCUCCUACCCUCUUGACAUCUACAACAUCUUGUGUCAAGGUCUUGUCCACGAUGAUGCCAACACCGUUUCUCGUUCUAUUUGUGCCCGAAUACCAUAGUUUAAACCCUGAGUUUUCUAGAUCCUUUGCCUUACGACCAACCCACUUAGUUUCUUGUAGGCACAUAAUAUUUAUCCUUCUCCUCACCAUAACUUCUACUACUUCCAUAGAUUUUCCCGUCAAGGUUCCUAUAUUCCACGUUCCUAAACGCAUUUUGCUCUCUUGAACUCUACCCUUCUGUCCUAGCUUCUUCACCAUUCCCCGUCUAAUAGGAUCAAAGUACUUCUUUUGUGUGUCCCGUGUAAAGUUGAUAGGAGCAUAUGCUCCCAAACAACUUUGAGUGGAGUCGUUCGAAAAGAAGUUUCUAUAGCCCCCUUGCUCAUUUAACACUGCAUCUGGGUGCCGAUGGAGAUACAGCGACCCUUGCUCACUUAUCACUGUGCUCAGGCCACACAGCGCACCACUUACGGGUGACGCCUUUCAAAAUUGUAUUAUCUUCCCCCAACUAAUACCAUAGUCUAUUAAUUUUUUUCUUCGCUUAUAAUUGAUACGUUUCAUGUUCGACUCAUAUGGGCGUUGGUGUUCUCUAUCAAUACUAGAUUUAAACAAGGGCAUUUUAAGAAACAAUAGUAGAUGAGAAUACAUAUUGAGAAAGGGUUAAUAAGAUUGGUGAUUUCGUAAGAAAACUAGUAAAGCUAACUUAGGUACUAGAUUGAACAUAUUAAAGAAUAAUUAAGAUCUAAAGAAAAUGUGUAAAAAAUGAAAAAAGAGUGCAAAAAUCACUCCCUUUUUUGGGGUUGGAAGCUCUUCUUAUCUUAAAAUUUGAGUUUUCUUGGUUUAUUUUAUACACAAUAAAGUUAUCCACCAAUAACUCCAAGUCCAAGCAAACAAGUUACCAAUAAUGCUAGCCCCCUUUGUACUACAUUCAAUUAAGGUCAUCACUGACCAAGCGGUAUAGGCCACUGUUAGCACCAAUUUUUGUGCCACUGUCAGCACCAAUUUGUGCAAAAAUUGUCUCCGAUGAAGGACAAAAAUGAAUCUGCCAAAAAGAACAGGACUAGUUUAGCCAAGGGUAUAUGCCACAUAUAGCAAUUAAGCCAUCAAGCCCCUUGGCAUGCCCCAACAUGGGUAUCCCAACUCAAGAUGAAAAGAUUUAGUCUUGCAUGGUUGGAGAUGAAAAAAAUUUAAUCCUACAAUAAUAAUUCUUUUAAAUAUUAAUUUUUAAAGGACUAAAACACAGCUAAAGGUCGGCUACAUUUAGCUUUCCAUGACUGAAGAUGACCUAACAUUCACACAUAAACCAACUAGCUUAUAGUAGGAAAACAAUAAUAUGUGGUACUGGAAUAUAUGCAUACGUGAUAUAAUCCAUUUAUGUGUAUAGUAUUGAUUGACGAUAUGAUUGAUAAUUCCCUUUUUAAGGUAUGUUAUCAAUAAAAUAUCCACGCAUACUCUACCAAAUAAACUGAUUAUACCACAUAACAAUACACUCGUACCAAACAUCCAACAUAAAAAAAAAUUAGUACCAGAGAAAUUGUAAGUUCAGAUCCCCCCAUAUAGAGAAGGGACCUUAAAUAUUAGCACCAUUAAGUUUACAAAAUAAAAUUCCAAUUAAAAGGAACCCACAAGCUCAUGAGUUCUGACCAAACCGAAAUAAAGUACGAAAAUAGUUAUAAAAGAAACAUGCAUGAAAGGCAGACCUCCCGACUUCAGUUAAGCUUGAUCAGUACCAACAUAACUUCCUAUCAGAACCCACCAGACGACCCAGAUCUCUUCCAGGACCUGCGCAUGUAAAAGAAGAACACCAUUUUAAUUACAUGUGAAAGCCAAGAUUUGAUUAACAAAAGAAAAGUGAAAUGAUAUAUAGAAAUUGUAUAGUUAUAUACUAACCCUACCUAGCUAGAAAUGGUGCCAAUAGUAGUCGUCUUCCUUCCUCUCCCUCACCGCCAGAGGGACAUAGGUCUUGGGGUCUUCACCCAGCUUUCUCUUCCGCCUAGCCGGAGCGCCCGAUGGUUUGGUGUUCGUUGAAGCCGGAGUUGGUGAGCUGUUUUUAGGUGCCUCUUCCAAGGUAUACCUACAACAUAUAUUCACACAUUAACUAAUUAAUUCUGAACCUGUUAUUGUAUAUACGUACAGUGCUUAAUUCAAUGUCUAAGAAUUCACACAUAAAAAUUAGAAAACGACAGCAUAAUCUGUAGCUAAACUGCGACAGCAUAUAUGUGUAUUUGUAAGUUGAGAAAACAUAAUAGGUUAGGGUUAGGUUUAAAUAAUUAAAUAAUUAAUAAACUUCAUUUACCCAGUAUCAACUGUCUCCUGGGCUGGAAAGAACAUGUUUGAACGAAUCGGGAAAUUAUUAUGAUUCUCCCCAUUCCUUUCCAUCUGACCAUGGAGUGCUAACCCCAU